This is a long non-coding RNA of Egretta garzetta (little egret), 2300 nucleotides long. RefSeq lists it as uncharacterized. NCBI's taxonomy places the organism in Eukaryota, Metazoa, Chordata, Aves, Pelecaniformes, Ardeidae. The record is from RefSeq and is a predicted model, not a curated record. The transcript has 3 exons.
CGCGACGCACGAUUGCUGCUGCCUGCGGCGAUCACACACGCAUCUAAACCUGUGCAAUUUCACCGACCCCUGCGAUUACAGGAAGACAGUUACUGCACGUGGCUGAGCUUGCCAAGGUAGAGCUGGCCUGAGUGGAGCGUUACCAGCGCUUGCACGUGACGAUUCAGACAUAACGUCUGGCCUUCUGUAAAUGACAGCAGAGGUUUCCAUCUGCAACUGAAGAGAUGCUCACAUACGAGCCGUCAGAAAAACGAGCUUUAUGUUGAUAGCUGGUAAUAGUUUCAAAUACGUCGUAGGCUAAUUUGAAAACCGAACCUGAUAAUUCCUCAGCACAACUGCUUGUUGCUAAGGCAAUGGAAGAUUGGGUCGCAGCGGUUACCAGUUAGGUAUUUUCUUCCUCCAGUAACAUUCCUGCCACUAAAAAUGCAUUGUUCAGCUCUGACGUCUCAGCCUACAGCCCUUUAAAGUUUGAGUUAUCACUAAUGGUCAGGUAACAUUAAUUGUUAGGCCCAAGUGGACUGCGAAACUACGUGUUUUAAAUGCCACUGUCAGAGAUCAAUCACAUUGGGCAAAAGAUGCUUCAUCACUAGUAAGAAAGCUGAUCUAAUGGAUGUUUGCCCGAUUUUCUAAAUCCGCUGGUGUUUUACAAUUUAACUGCAGUCUAAGGGACAAGCUAUAUUCAGUUAGAUGCUGCCCGUAUUUUGACAACAGUCUUCCACCCCAAAUUCUUCCUUAGUUUGGAGCAAACGUCACAUUUCUGUUUAUUAUUUCAGGGAAGAGGAUGGUUGAGAGGCUAAGGAUCUAUUCAUCUUGUUUAACCAAUGAUUUUUCUCACCAUUACAACUGAAUAGUAAAGCAAAUGUAAACUCUGUCAGUUCUUGGGGAGAAAAAGGUGCACUUCAGACUUGUCUUAGUAGUAUAGAAUAAUACUCGGUUUUGGUAACUUGAAGUAAGUGGUGGCACUGAAAAAUUUGUAUAGCAGCAGCACCCCUAAGAAACACACACCACAGGUGAUUUGGUGCUACAGUUAUUCUGAAGAUACGAAAUUACUCUCUGGUGCUAUUUGCAGUGACUUCUCAGUUGCACUAGAGAUUAAUCAUUUGUACUAGGUUUGGAUAAGCAGAUUCUGAAGAGAAAAAAAAAAAAAUCCACACUAGGAGGGAAAUGAAAUGAGGCUUCCUCCUGUUUGGUGUGGAGUUUUAAUGACGUAUGCCAAAAGUCUCUUUGAGUUUUCAGGGGAAUUCUGAAAUUCAUAGAGGGUAACUAUAGGCAUGUAAUUACCCCAUUUCUGCAUAUGUAGUGGAAUUCAUUUCACUGACGUCUUUGACAACGGACCUGGGCUCCCCUCACAGUCAACGGAGACGUUUUUAGGGCAAGACCUAUUUAUACUAAGAUUCUCUCUCAUUCGACAUACUUGGCUGAAUGACUCCCACCUUUAUUUCCCAAGGUGGAAAGGAAAAUUAACAUAUGGGAGAGGAUUAUGAAUGUCUUAAACCUUCAACUACUGAAACUUCCUGCAGGUGCGCUGCCUGCCCUCAUUUCACAAUCUCAAUUACAAAGGUGCGAUUGUGUAUGUUCGUUCCUCAUAAGAGGAAGAAAUGAGAACGUGUUUCUCACAUGACGUAUGCCGAGUACCAGAGUCACAGACGCGCAGGAUGCAUCUUAACGUGUAGCUCAGGUAAAUCAAGUCUAAUAUUUAAGUAAAAACACAAGCAACGACGUUUGCAAUUACAGGGAAGUAUCUUUUCUGGAUGACCUGAUGUUAGCAAAGUUUUCGGUAAUAGCUUACCCGGACAAACAUGCUACUACCUCUGUAGCUCUGGCAAGGAUAGCCUCUUCCUGGAGUAUUGUCUAUACAAAGGUCAGGUAUGGCCUUUCUGUAUGACCUUUCUAUGGCCUAUAGCUUUCUUCAACUGACUUUUUAAAAAGCCCAUCUGGCUUGUACUCAUUCUUUCUUUUUUCUUUUUUUGGUAUCUUGGAGAAUUCUUCAUCCUCUUCAUCCCACAGAAACCAGGGAAGCAUACCUGCCAAGAAAUACAUACCCUCAAAAAUUUGUUUGUUCCAUUUGGUUAAAAGCAGCACCCUGUUAUCAUCCUUUGAGCAUUUCUCCUAAACGCUAAGUAGGUCUUUCAAAAUUACAGCCCCUUAUGGACUUGUCCUCGUCAAUAAUGCUGCUUUUCAUUAUUUUUUUCCACAGGCUGAAGCUCUUCCUGGGCUAUUGUCGUGGUUUACCGCCAGCCGGCAACUCAGCACCACAUAGCCACUUGCUCACUCCCCCCUGGUGGGAUGGGAGAGAGAAU